RNA transcript from Ziziphus jujuba (common jujube), 1177 nucleotides. RefSeq lists it as uncharacterized. NCBI's taxonomy places the organism in Eukaryota, Viridiplantae, Streptophyta, Magnoliopsida, Rosales, Rhamnaceae. The record is from RefSeq and is a predicted model, not a curated record. The transcript has 4 exons.
AACCAUCUGCAUUCAUUUUAUGGCUUUGAAACAGUUCAUUUUUUGAUACCUUCAUUUUGUGGCCUAAUUCUUUGAUUGGUUUUUGAAGAGGUGGAUGAUUUGUUUGUGAGGAAAGAAAGCUUAAGCGAAGAGAAAAAUGGCAAGCCAAGCAGCUGCUUCUUUCAAUGGCAACUUGAAGGCAUGAUCAAUUAAGGAAAGAAUGCAAUUUGAUAUUCAUGCAGAAGGCACUUGCUGGCCUGAGAUGUACUAAUCUGGAAGGUCUUCGUUGGAGAGUGUUUGAUGCUAAAGGCCAGGAGAGAGACAAGAUUCUUGGAAGACUAGCAUCUCAAAUAUCCACUGUGACUCAAGGCAAGGAUAAGCCAACUCACACACCAACUUGUGAUGAUGGUGACGUGUGCAUUGUACUUAAUGCCAAGGAUCUCUCUGUGUCACAGGGAGAAAACUUACUGAUAAGGUUUAUCAUUGCCAAACUCGGAAAGAAGCUUAAAGGACCAGAUGGCCAAAGACCCUACAGAAGUCAUUCGGAAAGCUGUACUACGCAUGCUGCCCAGGAACAAAAUGUGUGAUGUGAGUGUCACAGUAAAAGUUUCUGAAAAAAAUUGACAUUUUCUCAUGGUUUUAGAUGUGUUUUUUCUAUUACUCGAUUAUGGGUUUUAAGAAUUGUAUGGAAUGAUAUCUUCUCUAUCAGUUGAAGCAAUUUGAACUUGUGAACAAUGAUAUUUGUGCUAAUUGGACAUGAAGUGCUUCUGUUUAAGAUCAUAUUUGGUGGUUGGUUUUGUGGAUGCAGGAGAGGGAUAGAAAGCUGAAGAUAUUUGCUGAAAGUGAACACCCCUCUGGCAAUCAGCCCGUUGAACCAUAUGUGAUGCGUCCCCGGACAGUACCUGAAAUGUGGCCACUUGCAAGACGAGCCAUAGUACGAGCUCCAAAUAAAGCUGAACAGCCACUACUCAAUGUUAGUGAUACAUAAAAAGGCAGGAAGAAGGAUAAAGCAGUGAAUGCGUGAAGGGUGGUUUCCCUUCAUAGAAAUAGCGAACAAUUGUAAUUUGACUUUGGCAAUUAUGAUAAUAUUUGAAUAUUGAAUAUUGCUUGGGAAGGAAUCCACUUUGAGCGUGUAGAUAUGCUCCUCCUAUUGUCUCUUGUGUAGAUGCGCCUAAGAAGGUGUCAUUUUACAUUGACU